UUGAUGUGAUUGACAAAAAAAGAAAAAAAAUCGUAUAAAGUAAUUGUUGCGCAGUUGUUCCGUCCCGGAAUCUCUCCGACCGGGAUAUAAAAUAAAAAAAUUAGCUAUUGUUUUCCGGAUAGGGUGCUAAAUCAGUUCGUUUCCCGCAUGAAGAAACUGCGUAAUGGCAACAUCACCGAAGCAAGCAAUUCCGUUCAAUCAUCAGUCUUCCACGCCGUAGACUGGCCCGUGUCCACCAGCCGGGGCUAUUAAGAAUAUUUCAGAUGGCUGGGGUCAGAAUCAAACUUGCGCUCAUCCCAUUCAAAUUAACAUCCGGACCGAUGGAGCUGAUACCUAAUCCAUGUAGGUGAUGGAGCUUCGAAUGCUGGUUGCUUUUUCGGUUAGCUGUUGCUGCCGGAAGAGCUGUCUCGCUGAUAAAAAAAAUCGAAGACAGUGAGUAUUAUAAAUUAUAUUUGAAUAAAUACUCAAAAUACAAAUAA
Long non-coding RNA from Uranotaenia lowii, 479 nucleotides. RefSeq lists it as uncharacterized. The transcript is spliced from 3 exons. NCBI's taxonomy places the organism in Eukaryota, Metazoa, Arthropoda, Insecta, Diptera, Culicidae. The record is from RefSeq and is a predicted model, not a curated record.